AACGAACGCUGGCGGCAGGCUUAACACAUGCAAGUCGAACGGGUGUCGCAAGGCAUCAGUGGCAGACGGGUGAGUAACACGUGGGAACCUUCCUCGGGGUACGGAACAACGCAGGGAAACUUGCGCUAAUACCGUAUACGUCCGUGAGGAGAAAGAUUUAUCGCCCUGAGACGGGCCCGCGUCGGAUUAGCUAGUUGGUGGGGUAACGGCCUACCAAGGCGACGAUCCGUAGCUGAUCUUAGAGGANGAUCAGCCACACUGGGACUGAGACACGGCCCAGACUCCUACGGGAGGCAGCAGUGGGGAAUCUUGGACAAUGGGCGCAAGCCUGAUCCAGCCAUGCCGCGUGAGUGAUGAAGGCCUUC
RNAcentral lists this ribosomal RNA (365 nucleotides) under uncultured bacterium. RNAcentral describes it as "bacterial SSU rRNA". It matches the Rfam family "Bacterial small subunit ribosomal RNA", at positions 29 to 419 of the family's 1533-position model. The record is from RNAcentral.